AACAAAGAAGCAAGAUUUGCAAUUAGUUUCGACCUAAAAUUAGGAAGUAAGUUCUCCCAUGUUU
Molecule: transfer RNA, 64 nt
Filed under: Phlogotettix monozoneus
Lineage: Eukaryota; Metazoa; Arthropoda; Insecta; Hemiptera; Cicadellidae
Description: tRNA-Arg
Source: RNAcentral